AUGCUGCAACCUUCCAGCGGCCUCUACUCGCUCAGCAGCCAGGUCACCGUCCCGGCCAGCAGCUGGGAGUCUAACACCUAUAGCUGCACCGUAAAGCACCAGUCCACCAGCCGCAGCAUCUCCAAGGACAUCCCAAAGCCCAUCCUCAUUGAACCCCAUGCCCCCGAGGUGGAAGUCUUCUACUCCUGCACCACCAACCCAGGCACCGUCCAGCUGGUGUGCUUAAUCUCCGGCUUCAACCCCAAGGCUUUGACGGUGGAAUGGCUGGUGGACGGCGAGCAUGGGCUACUUCAUAGUGACCUCAACCCUGUCACGAAGGACACCGACGGCCGCACCUACAGCAUCCGCAGCAAUGCCAGUGUCCCCCAGAGCGAGUGGCUGGCGGGCAAGACGUACACUUGCCAGGUGUACCACGCGGGCACUGACACCACAAAGCAGGCCCACGCCCGCAAGUGCGAAGAAAAAACAACGUCUCCCAGCGACAUCCAGGUCUUCCUGGUGCCCCCGUCUCCUGCCGACUUGUAUGUGAACCAGAGCCCCAUGCUCACCUGCCUGGUGGUCAACCUGCCUAGCAACUCCAGCCUCCAGGUGGUCUGGUCCCGGGAGAAGCCGGGCUCCAUUGUCCCUGAACCCAUGAACCUCACUGAGCAGUUCAACAGCACCAUCACCGCCUCCAGCUCCAUGCCCAUCCUCACCCACGACUGGGAGGACGGAGAGAACUUCACCUGCACAGUGAACCACUCAAAUCUGACCUCGCCCCUCAUCAAAUCGAUCUCCAAGAAGCCAGGCAGGCGCUCUGCCCCUGGCAUCUACCUCCUGCGCCCUCACAACGACGAGCUGAGCAGCUCCGAAGACUCCGUCAGCCUCACCUGCCUGGUGCAGGGCUUCUUCCCCGAGGACAUCUCGGUGCAGUGGAUGAAGAACCACAAACCCAACGAGAGCUUGGAAUAUAUCACCACCCAGCCCAUCAAGGACGGAGCCGGCGACUCGAACUUCUUCCUCUACAGCAAGCUGAAAGUCAGCAAGGCCAGCUGGAACACUGGGGACACCUACACCUGCAUGGUCAUCCAUGAAGCCCUGCAGAUGAAGUUCACCCAACGCAGCGUCAGCAAAGUCUCUGAGGUGAUCGUGUCAGGUGAGUUUUGCAACGAGGAUGGAGACAAGGAGUUAGACGGCCUCUGGUCCACCAUCUCGGUCUUCAUCACCCUCUUCCUCUUGAGCGUGUGCUACAGUGCCACCGUGACCCUGUUCAAGGUGAAGUGGCUUUUCUCCACCGUGGUGCAGCUGAAGCAGACGAGUGGCCCCGAGUACAAGAACGUGAUCCAGCGCGUGGUGUAGGGGCCACUGCCCUCAUCCACCCGGAGACAAAGGGCUGAGACACCCGGCUCCAUUGGCGACACCACCCUGAGUCCCACAGCU
Non-coding RNA from Mauremys mutica (yellowpond turtle), 1419 nucleotides. The record is from the annotation of a RefSeq genome assembly. NCBI's taxonomy places the organism in Eukaryota, Metazoa, Chordata, Testudines, Geoemydidae.